Long non-coding RNA from Ostrea edulis (European flat oyster), 723 nucleotides. RefSeq lists it as uncharacterized. The transcript is spliced from 3 exons. NCBI's taxonomy places the organism in Eukaryota, Metazoa, Mollusca, Bivalvia, Ostreida, Ostreidae. The record is from RefSeq and is a predicted model, not a curated record.
AGUUAUUGCUGUGACUGAAUCGAUGAUUUAGAGGGUCGUCUCAACGAAAGAUAGAGAAAUUUGGCCAUAGUUUAGAUUAGGAAUACGUCAAUGUAAUAAUAGUGGACUAAAUGUUUCGUCCGUGCAGAAUGGCACUUUUUACCUCACGAAAUUCACCACCAUGCAUAUCUGCGCUACGUAAACAAAGUUGUUGAUGUAGCGUGAUCGUGAUGUCCGAGUGCUGCGAGUUUCAAUACUGUUUAUGUAGUCAUUGAGAGUUUAAACAAAGUUUCUUCUGAGAAGAGGAAUUCGAUGGAUGCAUUCAACGUGGACAACGAAAUCAUAAUUUCGUUUGCAUCAUUCUAAGGACCAGUGCAAGUUGAAAUGGGCUUCCAGCCAACAACUUCAACAGCAAUUUGCCAUGAAAAUCAGCAAGAAAGGUACUUCAUUUACAUUGAUGAUGUCAUAUCCCCUGGACCCCACAACUUUACAGGUUACAGAGAAAAUUCAAGAACUUCUGCAAAAUGUGGGACUUGGAUAGAAUCAAUAAUGUAUUUGUGAGCCCCAAAGCAAUGGAUAUAUUGUGCAACAUACUAAAGUGUGAAUUUAAUGGAAAACAAAUACAUGUACUCAUGUAUUACAUGUCUUUUUUAAAGACAAUAAUAUUGUAUAAAUAUAGAGGAAGUGUCAUUGUUGAUUAUUCUAAGUUUUUGAUAUAUCAAAAUCAGUAAACAUUUCUAAAUG